AUGCUUUUUACCUCACGGAAUCGUGCAAGUCUCCAAAUCACAGGAAUGGACAAUAGCAGCAGACUAAUGAUCGCAGUCAUCAUGGUAAUGGCAUGCAUGGCGAUGGGAGCCGAGGCACAGAACUCUUCAAUGACUCUGAACGCCACAAUGGCACCCACCGCUACAAUGGCACCAACCACUACAAUGGCACCCAACGCUACAAUGGCACCCAACGCCACAAUGGCACCCAACGCUACAAUGGCACCCAAUGCCACAAUGGCACCCACUACUACAAUGGCACCCAACGCUACAAUGGCACCCAACGCCACAAUGGCACCCAAUGCCACAAUGGCACCCACCACCACAAUGGCACCCACCACUACAAUGGCACCCAACGCCACAAUGGCACCCACCACUACAAGGGCACCCAACGCCACAAUGGCACCCAACGCCACAAUGGCACCCAACGCUACAAUGGCACCCAAUGCCACAAAGGCACCCACUACUACAAUGGCACCCAACGCUACAAUGGCACCCAAAGCCACAAUGGCACCCAAUGCCACAAUGGCACCCACCACCACAAUGGCACCCACCACUACAAGGGCACCCAACGCCACAAUGGCACCCACCACUACAAGGGCACCCAACGCCACAAUGGCACCCAACGCCACAAUGGCACCCACCACUACAAUGGCACCUAAACCGACAAUUACAUCCAACACGGCAAUAGCCCCCACUGUUGUCAACACCACCGUCCCAGCUCUCACGCAAAACAUCUUAAGGGCGGAUUGUGGAAAGACUCAGUUCUGUGCUGCUGAGCCAUCAGACUGUGACCCGGCCAUGGCUGGUUCAUGUUUCUUCGUCUCCACGCGGCAGUCCUCGGGACAGACCUUCUCCCUCCAGCUACGAGGAGAGUCCAGAGGCUACAUCGCUGUAGGCUUGUCCAAAAACACCACCCUGGGCGUUAAUGACACUACCUACGUGUGUGCCAACAACAACGGCACAAUGAAGUUCUUCACCACUCUCCUCCUAAAUAAAGUUCUGACUGUCACUGGCACGCUGCCUGUGGACUCUGUGAAGGGCUCUGUCAACGGUCAGAUCAUCCAGUGCACCUUCUCUGCUACUCUCCCAGAAGCUACCAGGAGCACCAGGAGCACUGACACCAGCUUCGUCCUCUCCGUUUCCAACGGGACCGUAAUUAACGGAACCCUGGGUACUCCUAAGGUUGUCCUGGUCAGCAAUGCAGCCGUGGACCUGGCCAACCCCAACAGUACUGUGAUCAACUCUUUGAACGCCGCCCCCACUAAUUCUACUUCCUCCACUACUAAUACUUCCACCACUACUGCUACUUCCAACAUUGCUGCUACUCCCACCACUGCCUCCAGCCAUGCCUUGGGCCUGCAGCACGCCCUGUCUCAAGCUCUGCUGAUCCUGCUUGGUGUGCUAGGUAUGAUGAUGCUGUAA
RNAcentral lists this long non-coding RNA (1443 nucleotides) under Oncorhynchus mykiss (rainbow trout). Its description in RNAcentral is "lncRNA (ENSOMYG00000017922.2)". The record is from RNAcentral. Lineage: Eukaryota; Metazoa; Chordata; Actinopteri; Salmoniformes; Salmonidae.